RNAcentral lists this ribosomal RNA (458 nucleotides) under uncultured Fusibacter sp. RNAcentral describes it as "bacterial SSU rRNA". It matches the Rfam family "Bacterial small subunit ribosomal RNA", at positions 925 to 1382 of the family's 1533-position model. Lineage: Bacteria; Bacillati; Bacillota; Clostridia; Eubacteriales; Fusibacteraceae. The record is from RNAcentral.
ACAAGCAGCGGAGCAUGUGGUUUAAUUCGAAGCAACGCGAAGAACCUUACCAGAUCUUGACAUCCAAUUGACCAUCUUUAAUCGAGAUUUUGCCUUCGGGUACAAUUGAGACAGGUGGUGCAUGGUUGUCGUCAGCUCGUGUCGUGAGAUGUUGGGUUAAGUCCCGCAACGAGCGCAACCUUGUGUUUAGUUGCAAACAGGUCAAGCUGUGCACUCUAGACAGACUGCCGUGGACAACGCGGAGGAAGGUGGGGAUGACGUCAAAUCAUCAUGCCCCUUAUGAUCUGGGCUACACACGUGCUACAAUGGCCGGUACAACGGGCAGCGAAGGAGCGAUCCGGAGCGAAUCCUAAAAAGCCGGUCCCAGUUCGGAUUGCAGGCUGAAACUCGCCUACAUGAAGUUGGAGUUGCUAGUAAUCGCGAAUCAGAAUGUCGCGGUGAAUGCGUUCCCGGGUCUU